RNAcentral lists this ribosomal RNA (2295 nucleotides) under Gammaproteobacteria bacterium. RNAcentral's name for it is "partial 23S ribosomal RNA". It matches the Rfam family "Bacterial large subunit ribosomal RNA", at positions 684 to 2925 of the family's 2925-position model. Lineage: Bacteria; Pseudomonadati; Pseudomonadota; Gammaproteobacteria. The record is from RNAcentral.
UUAAUAGGGCGUUUAUUUGCUGGGAUUAGACCCGAAACCGGGCGAUCUAGCCAUGGCCAGGUUGAAGGUCGGGUAAUACCGACUGGAGGACCGAACCAACUAAUGUUGAAAAAUUAGUGGAUGAGCUGUGGCUAGGAGUGAAAGGCUAAUCAAGCCCGGAGAUAGCUGGUUCUCCGCGAAAGCUAUUUAGGUAGCGCCUCAUACAUGACUGCCGGGGGUAAAGCACUGUUUCGGCUAGGGGGUCAUCCCGACUUACCAAACCGAUGCAAACUCUGAAUACCGGCAAGUUCGAGUAUGGGAGACAGACGGCGGGUGCUAACGUCCGUCGUCGAAAGGGAAACAACCCAGACCGCCAGCUAAGGUCCCUAAUAUCAGUUAAGUGGGAAACGAUGUGGGAAGGCACAAACAGCUAGGAGGUUGGCUUAGAAGCAGCCAUCCUUUAAAGAAAGCGUAAUAGCUCACUAGUCGAGUCGGCCUGCGCGGAAGAUGUAACGGGGCUAAACUGAUAACCGAAGCUGCGGGUUCGCGAACACCCUCGGGUGAUUGCGGACGGUAGAGGAGCGUUCUGUAAGCGGGUGAAGCCAGGUCGGGAGGCCUGGUGGACGUAUCAGAAGUGCGAAUGCUGACAUGAGUAACGAUUAGGGGGGUGAAAAGCCCCCCCGCCGAAAGAUCGAGGUUUCCUGCCCAACGUUAAUCGGGGCAGGGUGAGUCGGCCCCUAAGGCGAGGGCGAAAGCCGUAGUCGAUGGGAAACCGGUUAAAAUUCCGGUACCCGGCUUUGCUGCGAUGGAGGGACGGAGUAGGCUAGACCGGCACGGUGUUGGUUAUCCGUGUUCAAGCGUGUAGGUAGGAAGCUUAGGGAAAUCCGGGCUUCCGUUAAUCUGAGGCGUGAUGACGAUCUUCCCGGGCAACCGGAAAGAGAAGUGGUUGAGGCCAUGCUUCCAGGAAAAUCUUCUAAGCACCAGGCAAAGUUGGACCGUACUUAAACCGACACAGGUGAUCAGGUAGAGGAUACCAAGGCGUUGAGAUAACUUGGGUGAAGGAACUAGGCAAAAUGGUACCGUAACUUCGGGAGAAGGUACGCUCCCUCCGGUGAUCGGACUUGCUCCGUAAGCCGAGGGGAGUCGCAGUGACCAGGUGGCUGCGACUGUUUACUAAAAACACAGCACUCUGCAAACUCGAGAGAGGAAGUAUAGGGUGUGACGCCUGCCCGGUGCCGGAAGGUUAAUUGAUGGGGUUAGCGUAAGCGAAGCUCCUGAUCGAAGCCCCGGUAAACGGCGGCCGUAACUAUAACGGUCCUAAGGUAGCGAAAUUCCUUGUCGGGUAAGUUCCGACCUGCACGAAUGGCGUAAUGAUGGCCACACUGUCUCCACCCAAGGCUCAGUGAAAUUGAAGUUGCUGUUAAGAUGCAGUGUACCCGCGGCUAGACGGAAAGACCCCGUGAACCUUUACUAUAGCUUCACACUGGACUUUGACUGUACUUGUGUAGGAUAGGUGGGAGACUGUGAAAGCAUCGCGCCAGCGUUGCCGGAGUCAACCUUGAAAUACCACCCUGGUGCUGUUGAGGUUCUAACCCAGGUCCCUUGACGGGAUCGGGGACAGUGUGUGGUGGGUAGUUUGACUGGGGCGGUCUCCUCCUAAAGAGUAACGGAGGAGCACGAAGGUACCCUAAGGGCGGUUGGAAAUCGUCUGUAUUGUGUAAUGGCGUAAGGGUGCUUGACUGCGAGAGUGACGAUUCGAGCAGGAGCGAAAGCUGGUCAUAGUGAUCCGGUGGUUCUGUAUGGAAGGGCCAUCGCUCAACGGAUAAAAGGUACUCCGGGGAUAACAGGCUGAUACCGCCCAAGAGUUCACAUCGACGGCGGUGUUUGGCACCUCGAUGUCGGCUCAUCACAUCCUGGGGCUGUAGCAGGUCCCAAGGGUAUGGCUGUUCGCCAUUUAAAGUGGUACGCGAGCUGGGUUUAGAACGUCGUGAGACAGUUCGGUCCCUAUCUGCCGUGGGCGCAGGAGAUUUGCGAAGAGUUGCCCCUAGUACGAGAGGACCGGGGUGAACGAACCGCUGGUGUUCGGGUUGUCUCGCCAGAGGCAUUGCCCGGUAGCUAUGUUCGGACGGGAUAACCGCUGAAGGCAUCUAAGCGGGAAGCCUCCUUCAAGACUAGAUCUCCCUGAGAGCCCAAGCUUCGGCUUAGUCUCUCCUGAAGUGCCGUUGAAGACGACGACGUUGAUAGGCCGGGUGUGUAAGCGCUGUGAGGCGUUGAGCUAACCGGUACUAAUUGCACGUGAGGCUUGAUCGCAUAACC